RNAcentral lists this transfer RNA (77 nucleotides) under Vulcanimicrobiota bacterium. RNAcentral describes it as "tRNA-Ile". It matches the Rfam family "tRNA". Rfam says of the family: Transfer RNA (tRNA) molecules are approximately 80 nucleotides in length. Lineage: Bacteria; Bacillati; Vulcanimicrobiota. The record is from RNAcentral.
GCGGUUAUAGCUCAGUCGGUUAGAGCGCAUCCCUGAUAAGGAUGAGGUCCCAGGUUCGAGUCCCGGUAACCGCACCA